This 253-nucleotide ribosomal RNA is filed under the name uncultured bacterium. RNAcentral's name for it is "partial 16S ribosomal RNA". It matches the Rfam family "Bacterial small subunit ribosomal RNA", at positions 524 to 776 of the family's 1533-position model. The record is from RNAcentral.
UACGUAGGGUGCAAGCGUUGUCCGGAAUUAUUGGGCGUAAAGAGCUCGUAGGCGGUUUGUUGCGUCGGCUGUGAAAUCCCGAGGCUCAACCUCGGGUCUGCAGUCGAUACGAGCAAACUAGAGUGUUGCAGGGGAGACUGGAAUUCCUGGUGUAGCGGUGAAAUGCGCAGAUAUCAGGAGGAACACCGGUGGCGAAGGCGGGUCUCUGGGCAACAACUGACGCUGGGGAGCGAAAGCGUGGGGAGCGAACAGG